CUUUUUCCUACAGUAGAGAAACAAAUUUUUAACUUGACCAGAACGUCACCAGACUUCAGUUUUAGAAGCUUGGACUCAUCUUGAUCUCAAGUUUGACCUAAUGUACUUUUCACAAGUUUGUGAGAACAGAAUGGAAGAAACAAUAUUUUGGAUGCUGGAACAAUUUACUCAGAACAACCAGAAGCCAACACUGCAGAAGCUGAACCAGGGUAAACCAACAUCAAGCAACAUUCACGCUGCCAAACCAUGGGGCCACUGUUUGGCCAGCUGCUUUUUCAGGCAUUUUUGUCUCCUGCUUUGCUUUACCACACAGCUCCACAAGUACUUGUGCCAGCCAGCAAGUCAGGAACAAGCCAGCGACCACUGCUCAAAAUGCCUCACCAAGUCCUGGCCAACACAUGCCAUCAGGGUCUCAGCUCCUAUCCCCAGUGUCCUGCAGAACAGCCCCUCUCUGCCCUGUCCCUCCCCAUCGGUCUCUGCAAGCUAUGGGAAGAUGCCCAUGAGAUCAUUAAUCAAUGGCUUUUAAAGGCUUUUGUGUUCAAAGUAGGGCUGGAACUUCAGAGUUCCCCUUCUGAGCCCAAAUGUAGUUACCGCUCUGCAGCUGUUUUGAGAAAAGACAGCAGCUCAGAAGCCAGCCCUUGAAAAGGUACCUGAAUCCUAACACAAAAUGGCACCGAUGACAAGAGACACAAAACCAACGACAAGAAGGGACUCAAAGCUAUCGGAAGUCUUCCAGUCUUCCUCUUCCUUUGCUUUUCAUCUGAACAUGACUGGGAUGAGGGAAUGGACUUCCCUCCACAUAACCUUCUUACUGUUAGCAACCAGAGCUUUAAAAAAAAAAAAAACAAAAAAAAAAACUACCAUGCAGCACAUAAAAAAAAAACCCACCACUUAAAAAAUGUCACAUCAAAGGUAAGAAAAUUAGAAAUGUGUGAAAAGGAAACAAAAAUGCGUGGACUAUUUCAGACAAUUUUCUGUGAUUAAGAAACAUGUGGGAUGCCACAUGCAUUUUCACAUAGGGGAAAGCUAGUGUUUAACACCACUGCUUAACCGUAGUCUAAAAACCAUCAGCAGCACUGCAGUAGGCUCUAGCGUAACCAGACCGGUGUUUUGGUGCUUGUGCGUGUCGUGAGAAACUUUGCUGGUUAGGCACAGCACAAAAAGAAAAAAAAAAUAGAAUAGAAAAGAAUAGAAAAGAAUAGAAAUAAAACGUUCUACUAAAUGCACAAGAGAUUCUUAGUCAAAGAAAGCAAAUAUUUCAAAUUACAAAUUCUCCAAGCUAGAGUGUUUUAAAGGGAGCAAUAAUGGGAAAAGGAAUGAUGAAUUAUGUGUUCAGAAAAUUUCCAUAUCAGGUAACUAAACAGUGUUUCUGCACAAACACCAAGCCAUCAACACCCCUACAAUAGUGCAGGACCUGCUUGAAGGACACCAGUUCCUGAGUUCAGCUAGGGAAAAAAAGAGGGAAAGAAAGAAAUUCUUCUCUUAAUCCUUGCUGAAAUCUGCAUGCAAUGGAACUGCAAAUGGAUCUUCUUUAUGCUUUUAACACCUAUACACA
RNAcentral lists this long non-coding RNA (1555 nucleotides) under Anas platyrhynchos (mallard). RNAcentral describes it as "lncRNA (ENSAPLG00020013782.1)". Lineage: Eukaryota; Metazoa; Chordata; Aves; Anseriformes; Anatidae. The record is from RNAcentral.